UGCUCCAUGGCUGAGUUGGUUACAGCGUCCGACUGUUAAGUCGAAGACAAGUCUCUACUUUCUAUGUUGGGAAAAAGUCUUCACUUGCCAUAAUCGGAAGGCCCUGAGUUCGAUCCUCAGUGGAGCAG
Molecule: non-coding RNA, 128 nt
Organism: Fomitopsis serialis
Lineage: Eukaryota; Fungi; Basidiomycota; Agaricomycetes; Polyporales; Fomitopsidaceae
Source: the annotation of a RefSeq genome assembly